Bos indicus x Bos taurus (hybrid cattle) is the source of this 187-nucleotide long non-coding RNA. The record is from Ensembl. Lineage: Eukaryota; Metazoa; Chordata; Mammalia; Artiodactyla; Bovidae.
GAGCCCAUGGAGAGUGAGCUCCACAGAGGGCAGGCCAGGGACGCCCCUUUGUCUGCGAGCAGAGACACCCAGCUGCGUGCGGGGAAGGCGAGGACAAGCUGGGCUUCAGGCACAGGUGGAUCCAGGGCACGAGUGCAGACUCAGCAAAAAGCAAAACCAAGCCGCCCCAGGACACCCGAUUCCAGCU